Molecule: transfer RNA, 133 nt
Filed under: Gluconobacter sphaericus
Lineage: Bacteria; Pseudomonadati; Pseudomonadota; Alphaproteobacteria; Acetobacterales; Acetobacteraceae
Description: tRNA-OTHER
Source: RNAcentral
GGGCGCGAUGUGCAAAUUUCGUGCACCUGAUUCGAUUUUCGGGCCACAAAUCGCAGAAAACUCACGUUUUUUAUAGAAAGCAAACUACCUUGCAUGGUAGGGGUUACAGGUUCCAUCCCUGUUGCGCCCACCA